Molecule: ribosomal RNA, 449 nt
Filed under: uncultured bacterium
Lineage: Bacteria
Description: partial 16S ribosomal RNA
Rfam family: Bacterial small subunit ribosomal RNA
Source: RNAcentral
CCUACGGGUGGCUGCAGUGGGGAAUUUUGGACAAUGGGCGCAAGCCUGAUCCAGCCAUGCCGCGUGCAGGAUGAAGGCCCUCGGGUUGUAAACUGCUUUUGUACGGAACGAAAAGCCUCUCUCGAAUAAAGAGGGGUGAUGACGGUACCGUAAGAAUAAGCACCGGCUAACUACGUGCCAGCAGCCGCUGUAAUACGUAGGGUGUGACCGUUAAUCAGAAUUACUCAGCCGAUAUUGCAAGCAAGUGGUGAAACCCCCGGGCUCAACCUGGGAACGGCCAUUGUGACUGCAAGGCUGGAGUACGGCAGAGGGGGAUGGAAUUCCGCGUGUAGCAGUGAAAUGCGUAGAUAUGCGGAGGAACACCGAUGGCGAAGGCAGUCCCCUGGGCCUGUACUGACGCUCAUGCACGAAAGCGUGGGGAGCAAACAGGAUUAGAUACCCCAGUAGUC